CAGUCGCCGCGGUAAUACGUAGGUGGCAAGCGUUGUCCGGAAUUAUUGGGCGUAAAGGGCUCGCAGGCGGUUUCUUAGGUCUGAUGUGAAAGCCCCCGGCUCAACCGGGGAGGGUCAUUGGAAACUGGGAAACUUGAGUGCAGAAGAGGAGAGUGGAAUUCCACGUGUAGCGGUGAAAUGCGUAGAGAUGUGGAGGAACACCAGUGGCGAAGGCGACUCUCUGGUCUGUAACUGACGCUGAGGAGCGAAAGCGUGGGGAGCGAACAGGAUUAGAUACCCGCGUAGUCCCUGUCUCUUAUAC
RNAcentral lists this ribosomal RNA (301 nucleotides) under uncultured bacterium. RNAcentral's name for it is "partial 16S ribosomal RNA". It matches the Rfam family "Bacterial small subunit ribosomal RNA", at positions 509 to 807 of the family's 1533-position model. The record is from RNAcentral.